UGUCAUCUACGUUGCAGGCCUCAGUGGGGUCCUGGGUGCUCAGGGCGUUGUGGGUGAGGCUGAUGUCAUAGGUGUGGCUGGCGUCACGGGUGCCCCUUGUGUCACAGGUGCCACAGGCGGCGUGGGUGAGGUUGGUGCUGCUGGUAUCAUAGCUAUCAUGGGUUCACUGGCGUCACGGGCAUCACUGAAGUCAUGGAUGAUGCUGGUGUCAUGGGUGAGGCAGGUGUUACGGUUGACACUGGUGUCACGGGUAUUGUGGGUGCCACGGGUACCAUCUGUGUUGCAGGCACCUGCGCUGUCCCAGGUGCUUAGGGCAUCGCAGGUGAGGUUGGUGUCACGGGUGUGGCUGGUGACACGGAAGCCCCUGGCGUCACGGGUGCCGCUGGUGUCAUGAGUGCCUGUGCUGUCCCGGCUGCUGCAGGCGUCACAGGUGAGGCUGGUACGGCUGGUUUCGCAGCUGUCGCAGGUGCUGCUGCUGUCAC
This 482-nucleotide long non-coding RNA is filed under the name Ovis aries (sheep). Its description in RNAcentral is "lncRNA (ENSOARG00000026513.1)". The record is from RNAcentral. Lineage: Eukaryota; Metazoa; Chordata; Mammalia; Artiodactyla; Bovidae.